UACCCCACUAUGCCUAGCCAUAAACUUUGAUUAUCCGCCAGAGUACUACGAGCCACAGCUUAAAACUCAAAGGACUUGGCGGUGCUUUAUACCCCCCUAGAGGAGCCUGUUCUAUAAUCGAUAAUCCCCGAUAAACCUCACCAUCUAUUGCCAAUACAGCCUAUAUACCACCGUCCAGCCCGCCCUUUAAAGGAAAGACAGCAGGCAUAAUAAUUAACAUUAACACGUCAGGUCAAGGUGUAGCAGAUAAGAUGGAAAGAAAUGGGCUACAUUUUCUAAUUUAGAAAACACGAAUGAUUCUAUGAAAUAAUUUCUGAAGGAGGAUUUAGCAGUAAAAAGAAACAAGAAUGUUCUUUUGAAGCUGGCAAUAAAGCGCGCACACACCGCC
RNAcentral lists this ribosomal RNA (388 nucleotides) under Lyciasalamandra atifi. RNAcentral's name for it is "partial 12S ribosomal RNA". It matches the Rfam family "Bacterial small subunit ribosomal RNA", at positions 783 to 1394 of the family's 1533-position model. Lineage: Eukaryota; Metazoa; Chordata; Amphibia; Caudata; Salamandridae. The record is from RNAcentral.